This 492-nucleotide ribosomal RNA is filed under the name uncultured bacterium. RNAcentral's name for it is "partial 16S ribosomal RNA". It matches the Rfam family "Bacterial small subunit ribosomal RNA", at positions 29 to 507 of the family's 1533-position model. The record is from RNAcentral.
AGUGAACGCUGGCGGUGGGCCUAACACAUGCAAGUCGAACGGCAGCACAGUAAGAGCUUGCUCUUACGGGUGGCGAGUAGCGGACGGGUGAGGAAUACAUCGGAAUCUCCUUUUUCGUGGGGGAUAACGUAGGGAAACUUACGCUAAUACCGCAUACGACCUACGGGUGAAAGCAGGGGAUCUUCGGACCUUGCGCGAUUGAAUGAGCCGAUGUCGGAUUAGCUAGUUGGCGGGGUAAAGGCCCACCAAGGCGACGAUCCGUAGCUGGUCUGAGAGGAUGAGCAGCCACACUGGAACUGAGACACGGUCCAGACUCCUACGGGAGGCAGCAGUGGGGAAUAGUGGACAAUGGGCGCAAGCCUGAUCCAGCCAUACCGCGUGGGUGAAGAAGGCCUUCGGGUUGUAAAGCCCUUUUGUUGGGAAAGAAAAGCAGCAGGUUAAUACCCCGCUGUUCUGACGGUACCCAAAGAAUAAGCACCGGCUAACUUCGUG